This 75-nucleotide transfer RNA is filed under the name uncultured Thermomicrobiales bacterium. RNAcentral describes it as "tRNA-Val-CAC". It matches the Rfam family "tRNA". From Rfam's summary of the family: Transfer RNA (tRNA) molecules are approximately 80 nucleotides in length. Their secondary structure includes four short double-helical elements and three loops (D, anti-codon, and T loops). Further hydrogen bonds mediate the characteristic L-shaped molecular structure. tRNAs have two regions of fundamental functional importance: the anti-codon, which is responsible for specific mRNA codon recognition, and the 3' end, to which the tRNAs corresponding amino acid is attached (by aminoacyl-tRNA synthetases). tRNAs cope with the degeneracy of the genetic code in two manners: having more than one tRNA (with a specific anti-codon) for a particular amino acid; and 'wobble' base-pairing, i.e. permitting non-standard base-pairing at the 3rd anti-codon position. Lineage: Bacteria; Pseudomonadati; Thermomicrobiota; Thermomicrobia; Thermomicrobiales. The record is from RNAcentral.
UGGCACGCUCUGAAAAGGAAGAGCGCACGGUUCACAUCCGUGAGGUCACUGGUUCGAGCCCAGUCGUGCCCACCC